This 249-nucleotide ribosomal RNA is filed under the name uncultured bacterium. RNAcentral's name for it is "partial 16S ribosomal RNA". It matches the Rfam family "Bacterial small subunit ribosomal RNA", at positions 524 to 776 of the family's 1533-position model. The record is from RNAcentral.
UACGGAGGGUGCGAGCGUUGUCCGGAAUCACUGGGCGUAAAGGGCGCGUAGGCGGCUUGGGAAGUCCGUGGUGAAAGCCCGAGCUCAACUUCGGGUCGGCCAUGGAUACUCCUAAGCUCGAGUCGACUAGAGGCUAAUGGAAUUCCGGGUGUAGCGGUGGAAUGCGUAGAGAUCCGGAAGAACACCGGUGGCGAAGGCGGUUAGCUGGGUCGGACUGACGCUGAGGCGCGACAGCGUGGGAGCAACAGG